AGUGUAGGUAAAAGAUUAUUUUUUUAAAGGAGAUUGACACAAUUAAAUGAUGUUUAACUAAAUUUCUUAAUAAGCAUAAAAGUAUUUUUUUUUUAUAUAUUUGAGACUAGAGAGUUAAUAGACAAAGCUCACAGUAGGGGUGUAAAUUACUCUAAAAAAAUAUGUUAUUGAGUUUAUACAAAUGGAGUGAACUGUAAUAUUUAAAUAAGUUUGGAGAUUGGAGUUUAGUGUCAUUCAAAUAAAUAUGAAGGUAAUAUAAUAUAAUUUACUCUAAAUAAAAAAGAGCACAAUACCUAGACUAGUUUGUUGUUAUUCGCAUCUCAAUCCAAUUUAAAAUUGAAAGAGCGCACACAUAAUAAAAAUUGGAUACCAUGUAAUGACAUCCCAUUGGCUAGUUUUGGAAGACAUGGAUUACCAAACAAAUAACUUGAGUCAUUGAUAACAUCAAAUCAAACGGUUCACGUUUUUUUGUGCUUGUCUCGUUGGAUCCUUGUUGGGUUAAUUUUGUUGUUGUUAUCCACAUCUCAAUUCAAUUUUAAAUUGAAAAAGUGCAUGUUGAAUAAAAAUUGGAUACCAUAUAAUGACAUCUCAUUGGCUGGUUUGGAAAGACACGGAUUAUCAAACAAACAAUUGUGGGUCGUUAAUAACAUCAAAUCAAACCGUUCACAUUUCUCUAUGCUAAUCGUGUUGGAUCCUCGUUGGAUAGUUUUUUUGUUGUUGUUGUUGUUAUCCACAUCUAAAUCCAAUUCAAAAUUGAAAGAACUCAUAUCGAAUAAAAAAUAGAUACCUUAAAAUGACAUUCCAUUGGUGGGUGUGAAAAGACACGGAUAACCAAACAAAAUAAUUAUGAGCCAUUGAUAACAUCAAAUCGAACGGUUCACAUUUCUUUAUGCUAGUCUAGUUGGAUCCUCGUAAAAGCUUCCAAAACUUUAUAAUGUGGAAUCAUGCUAACACACUCUCCACCUACAUCUUACCAUCACUCUCACUUGUGAUUAUUCCUACCACAUGAAAUCCACACUAUAAAAUUUAUCACCUUUUCUUGUUCUCACCAAUUAGACUAUUAGGCUCUCGAAGGUUCAAGACUGACCUUCUCCACACUUUUAAUUAUUUUUUGUUGGGUUGAUAUCUUUUCUUGUUUCUAAAAAUUUUGAGUUCUUUUUGUUUAUGCUAGGUCCAUGAGUUGGGCAACAUAGCCUCGUUCAUGAACCUUCUUUACAGAUAUACUCAAAUGGAGUUUGUUGACCAUGUCAUCUAUUUCUCUACCCUCUCCUUUAUUCUUUGUCAUACUCUUUGUUUCAAUUAUGGACACUAAACAUCUUCAACGAUUGUGAUUUCCUUGAUUAAUGAAAUAAGUUUUCCACUUGAUCUUAAUUCUAAACCCGAUGAGGAGGAGGAACCAAUUUCUUUCUCGGAGGAAGCAAGUGCCAAUGUUGGUGGAAAGUGUGAAACCAGAGCCGCAACUUCUGCAUCAGAUGACAACAUUCGAGGUCGAGCAGAAGUUGCUGUUAUUGACAGAGUCAACGUUGUUGAACGAAGAUUUGACUUUGAGAAUAAGUUUUGUUAUUUGAAACUUACUAAAUGUUACAUGAGGAUAUAAUUUAAUUUAUCGAUUUUAAUAUGACACAUACAUUAUAUGUUUUUAGGAAUUAAUAACGUGUUAAAUCAAAAUUGGUCAUGACAAGGUAUACUUGGUGGUGGUGAUAUAUGAAAAAAAUUGAGAAUUUAUAUUUUUGUUAGUUAA
This is a long non-coding RNA of Glycine soja, 1741 nucleotides long. RefSeq lists it as uncharacterized. The record is from RefSeq and is a predicted model, not a curated record. Lineage: Eukaryota; Viridiplantae; Streptophyta; Magnoliopsida; Fabales; Fabaceae. The transcript is spliced from 2 exons.